Saccoglossus kowalevskii is the source of this 1076-nucleotide long non-coding RNA. The record is from RefSeq and is a predicted model, not a curated record. NCBI's taxonomy places the organism in Eukaryota, Metazoa, Hemichordata, Enteropneusta, Harrimaniidae.
UACUCCCGUGUUUCUUGACCAAAACCCCCUGGCAUCACAACAUAGAAUGAAAAAUUUCAUCAACAAAUGCCUGGACCUGGAACCUGGGGUACACUACAACGACGAAUAUUUUGGUUCGAAAGAAGCCUAUGACGAAAAAGUGACUCCUUUCACUGAAGAAGAAUUGAAGAAUUUACCAGACAUGAGUAAAUACAAGUCAUGUAUUCCAUACAGUAUCGACUCCGUGAAACCCAUGAUAAGAUAAAUUACGACUGCAUAUCAAACCAUGCCUUCUCCUGAGAUAAACAUGGUACUGGAGUGAAUAAUAACCACAAUUUGUAUAACAAUAUAUAAUAAGAAUAAUAUAGGACACUUAUAUUCUCAAUUACUCUCGAAAUAUAUAAAUUACAUGUAUAACAUUUUUAACCAAAACGGUAAGGUAGCAAUACGUGUAUGAACAGUGUUUCUUUUUCGCCAUGUGAUUUGCUUGGAUAUAUCAGUACAUUUAACAUUUUUCUGCAUAUUUCAUAUUUAAUUAAUAGUCACAACAUAGGUUGACAUUAUUGUGCAUUCAAAUGAUUACGUGUCCUGUUAAAUCAUUGUUAAAUUGUCACGCUGUGUAGUAAGCAUGCAAUUCUUGAGUCAUUUAUUAUAAUAAUAAUAAUAAUAAUAAGUGAUUUAUAAUUAACUCGCAUUACACGUGGCAUAUAGUGCAUACAGUCUGGGAGCAUACCAGGCCAUUGUGUAUCCUAGUGUGGGUGAGAGUGAGUGAGCGAGUGAGUGAGAGUGAGUAUGUAAAUUGGUUAAAAACGUUUUUUUUAAUGACAUGCUAUUCUAUAUUUUGAUAUUUUUUUGUUAAUUGUGUAUCGGAACCGUUUCACUUAGUUUGCAAGUUGAAUUAUUUCUGACUUUCUGUUUUCACGGCCAACUGUUGGUCAUUUUCACGGUGUACGGAAUUGUCUUGACUUACGUGUCAAAGAGUACGCCAUCAGCUAAUAACAAUCGUAUGUUAUUUUUUAUCAGUUGACAUUUUUGAUUCAGUGGUAUAGCCAGAAGAAGACCUACUCCAGUAAUAAACAGUAAUUUCUAACUAAGAA